Molecule: ribosomal RNA, 2281 nt
Filed under: human gut metagenome
Description: bacterial LSU rRNA
Rfam family: Bacterial large subunit ribosomal RNA
Source: RNAcentral
GGGUGACAGCCCCGUACGCGAACCCAGACCGGACGGCGCGACGCGGUCCCUGAGUAGGGCCGGGCACGUGAAACCCGGUCCGAACCUGGGUGGACCACCAUCCAAGCCUGAGUACUACCCUGUGACCGAUAGCGCACCAGUACCGUGAGGGAAAGGUGAAAAGCACCCCGGGAGGGGAGUGAAACAGUACCUGAAACCGUGCGCCCACGAGCAGUCGGAGCAACUUUCAGUUGUGACGGCGUGCCUUUUGUAGAAUGAGCCAGCGAGUCGCUGGCGCGGGGCGAGGUUAACCGAAAGGGAGCCGAAGCGAAAGCGAGCCUUAACAGGGCGACUUGAGUCCCGCGCCGCGGACGCGAAGCCGGGUGAGCUAUCCGUGGGCAGGCUGAAGCGGGGGUAAGACCCCGUGGAGGGCCGAACGCACGUCGGUUGAAAACGGCGGCGAUGACCUGCGGAUAGGGGUGAAAGGCCAAUCAAACCCGGAGAUAUCUCGUUCUCCCCGAAAUAGCUUUAGGGCUAGCGUCGCGCGUUCACCGCCGGAGGUAGAGCACCGGAUGGACGAGGGGGCUUCGCCGCCUACCGAAUCCAACCGAACUCCGAAUGCCGGCGGCCCAGAGCGCGGCAGUCAGAGCAUGUGGGCUAAGCUGUGUGCUCGAGAGGGAAACAGCCCGGACCGCCCGCUAAGGUCCCCAAGUUCCAGCCGAGUGGCAAAGGAUGUGCGUCCGCCCAGACAACCAGGAUGUUGGCUUAGAAGCAGCCAUCCAUUCAAAGAGUGCGUAACAGCUCACUGGUCGAGUGGACAUGCGCCGACAAUACACGGGGCUAAGCUGGACACCGAAGCGGCGGGAUUUUAAUUCAUUAGAAUCGGUAGGGGAGCUUCCCAUGGGCGGAGAAGCCGGAGGGCGACCGACGGUGGAGCGCAUGGGAGUGAGAAUGCUGGCAUGAGUAGCGAGAGACGAGAGAGUAACUCGUCCGCCGUGAACCCGAGGUUUCCUGGGCAAGGCUAAUCCUCCCAGGGUCAGUCGGGAGCUAAGGCGAGGCCGGAAGGCGUAGCCGACGCGCAGCAGGCAGACAUUCCUGCACCGCGCACGCGGCGCUACGACCGACGGGGCGACGGAUGGGGGUGGCUCGGCGGGGUUCUGGACGUCCCCGUGAUGGAGCGCGGCCCGCGGACCAGGGAAAUCCGGUCCGCAGAAGGGCGAGGCUCCGGACGAAGCACUUAAGCGAAGCGAGUGAGCCCGAGGUCCCUAGAAAAACCCCUAGGCAGGCGCGUGCGCGCCCGUACCGCAAACCGACACAGGUGGGUGGGUAGAACAUACCGAGGCGAUCGGGUCAACCAUGGUCAAGGAACUCGGCACAAUGGCCCCGUAACUUCGGGAGAAGGGGUGCCCGCGCGUACGUGAACCGGCUCGCCCGGGGAGCGGAGGCGGGCCGCAGUGGAGAGGCCCAAGCGACUGUUUACCAAAAACACAGGACUCUGCAGAAGCCGCAAGGCGACGUAUAGGGUCUGACGCCUGCCCGGUGCCGGAAGGUCACGCGGAGGAGUUAGCCGAUUCGGCGAAGCCCCGAAGCCAAGCCCCGGUAAACGGUCCUAAGGUAGCGAAAUUCCUUGUCGGGUAAGUUCCGACCUGCACGAAAGGCGCAACGACUUGGGCGCUGUCUCGACCAUGGACCCGGUGAAAUUGCACUGGUCGUGAAGAUGCGACUUACCCGCGGAAGGACGGAAAGACCCCGUGAACCUUCACUGCAGCUUGGCAUUGGCCGCUGGUCCCGCGUGUAGAGGAUAGGCAGGAGGCAUCGAUCCGGAGGCGCCAGCCCCCGGGGAGCCGCCCUUGGAAUACUGCCCUCGCGCGACCGGCGUCCUAACCCGAGGCCGUCAACCGGCUCGGGGACCGUGCCAGGCGGGCAGUUUGACUGGGGCGGUCGCCUCCUAAAGGGUAACGGAGGCGCGCGAAGGUCCGCUCGGGACGGUCGGCAACCGUCCUUUUGAAUGCAAGAGUACAAGCGGGCUUGACUGCGAGGCCCACAAGCCGAGCAGGUGCGAAAGCAGGCUCUAGUGAUCCGGCGGCCCCGAGUGGGUGGGCCGUCGCUCAACGGAUAAAAGGUACUCCGGGGAUAACAGGCUGAUCUUGCCCAAGAGUCCACAUCGACGGCAAGGUUUGGCACCUCGAUGUCGGCUCAUCGCAUCCUGGGGCUGAAGUCGGUCCCAAGGGUUGGGCUGUUCGCCCAUUAAAGCGGUACGCGAGCUGGGUUCAGAACGUCGUGAGACAGUUCGGUCCCUAUC